This 21-nucleotide non-coding RNA is filed under the name Arabidopsis thaliana (thale cress). The record is from RNAcentral. Lineage: Eukaryota; Viridiplantae; Streptophyta; Magnoliopsida; Brassicales; Brassicaceae.
UGCACAAACUUGUAGACUUGU